CGAGGCUGUGGGCACUGGGAGUUGGCC
RNAcentral lists this non-coding RNA (27 nucleotides) under Cricetulus griseus (Chinese hamster). The record is from RNAcentral. Lineage: Eukaryota; Metazoa; Chordata; Mammalia; Rodentia; Cricetidae.